This 23-nucleotide microRNA is filed under the name Sus scrofa (pig). RNAcentral's name for it is "ssc-mir320". Lineage: Eukaryota; Metazoa; Chordata; Mammalia; Artiodactyla; Suidae. The record is from RNAcentral.
UUCAGCCCUCUCGGUCAUCCUCC